Molecule: long non-coding RNA, 1212 nt
Filed under: Cyanistes caeruleus (blue tit)
Lineage: Eukaryota; Metazoa; Chordata; Aves; Passeriformes; Paridae
Description: lncRNA (ENSCCEG00000001079.1)
Source: RNAcentral
AUGCCACGGGGUGCAUGGCACUGCCUGCACCAUCAUGGCCCUUUGAACACCUUCCUCAUGGAACCAGCCAUGUGCUGGCCACCCCAGCCUCAGAAAAAGUGGCUUUUACUUCUCCAUUCAGGGAUAGGGUUUAGCAAAGGGUUAGGGCUCAAAACAAUAAAAGUCCUAGAACACCAUGCACAUUACAGCUACAAAAAAAAAAUACCUUGGGGAAAAUGGCAUAGCCCUAACAUUAUCUCCUCCAAAAUUUUCUCAUUGGCACCAAAAAGGUGCUGGCACAUAAGAUGUAGCAAAAUACCCCUUUUGCUGCCUCUCCUAGGGUUAGGGUUACUCCUAGGAUUAGGGCUCAGAACCCAAAGAGCCCAGAACUCGUGGGACUCUACAGAUAAAAAAGGCAUGCCAAGGGCAACACAAAACACAGUGGAGACCCAUCCACACUUUUCUGCUUGGCACCAACCUAAACCCAAGGCUGAUUUCCUGCUGUCCCUAGGGUUAAGGUUGUGCCUAGGGUUAGGGUUCAGAAAACAACAAAGCCCAGUUUUAAGCAGGUGGAUAAGGCAUGACAAGGGGAAUUCAGUGCUGCUACGACAUGGCUCCCUCCACAGAUUUCAAUUUGCUCCACCUUCUCCCCCAGAGGUUUCAGUGCUGUGCCUAGGGUUAGUCUUACGCCCAGGGUUAGGGUUACACCUAGGGUUAGGGUCCAGAAAACCAAAGCCCAGAGCUUCAAGCACACUGCUGCUACAAAAGGCACACCAAGGGGAACACAGGACUGAUACAUUGUGCCUCCCUUCACACUUUACUGGGCACCACCCUCAAUCCUGUCAAGUGCUUUGCCUAGGCUUAGGGUUAGUCCUAGGUUUAGGUUUCAGUAAACCACAAAGGCCAGAGCUCCAAGCACACUCCAGCUACAGAGGGCAUGCCAAGGUGAAUACAGGACAGCCACAGCAUUGUUCCCUGCACACCUUUCUGCUUGGCACUUGCAUCACCCCCAUGAGGCUUUUACUGCUGCACCUAGGGUUAGGCCUAUGCCUUUGUUUAGAGUUCAGAAAACCACAAAACCCAGAGCUCCAGGAACUCUGCAGCUGCAAAAUGCAUGCUAAGGUGAGCAGGGCAUUUCCCCAGUAUGGCUCCCUCCCCAUCUUUCCUUGGGGCAUGAGCCAUGUGCUGGCCAUGUCAGCUUCAGGAAAAGACUGCUUUUCCUGCUCCAUUUAG